GACCCUACGGGACGCAGCAGUGAGGAAUAUUGGUCAAUGGCCGAGAGGCUGAACCAGCCAAGUCGCGUGAGGGAUGACGGCCCUACGGGUUGUAAACCUCUUUUGUCGGGGAGCAAGACCCGCCACGAGUGGCGGAGCGAGAGUACCCGAAGAAAAAGCAUCGGCUAACUCCGUGCCAGCAGCCGCGGUAAUACGGAGGAUCCGAGCGUUAUCCGGAUUUAUUGGGUUUAAAGGGAGCGUAGAUGGGUUGCUAAGUCAGUUGUGAAAGUUUGCGGCUCAACCGUAAAAUUGCAAUUGAUACUGGG
This 305-nucleotide ribosomal RNA is filed under the name uncultured bacterium. RNAcentral's name for it is "bacterial SSU rRNA". It matches the Rfam family "Bacterial small subunit ribosomal RNA", at positions 335 to 637 of the family's 1533-position model. The record is from RNAcentral.